This 429-nucleotide ribosomal RNA is filed under the name Chloroflexota bacterium. RNAcentral's name for it is "Chloroflexi bacterium partial 16S ribosomal RNA". It matches the Rfam family "Bacterial small subunit ribosomal RNA", at positions 355 to 776 of the family's 1533-position model. Lineage: Bacteria; Bacillati; Chloroflexota. The record is from RNAcentral.
UGGGGAAUAUUGCACAAUGGGCGCAAGCCUGAUGCAGCCAUGCCGCGUGUAUGAAGAAGGCCUUCGGGUUGUAAAGUACUUUCAGCGGGGAGGAAGGGAGUAAAGUUAAUACCUUUGCUCAUUGACGUUACCCGCAGAAGAAGCACCGGCUAACUCCGUGCCAGCAGCCGCGGUAAUACGGAGGGUGCAAGCGUUAAUCGGAAUUACUGGGCGUAAAGCGCACGCAGGCGGUUUCUUAAGUCUGAUGUGAAAGCCCCCGGCUCAACCGGGGAGGGUCAUUGGAAACUGGGAGACUUGAGUGCAGAAGAGGAGAGUGGAAUUCCAUGUGUAGCGGUGAAAUGCGUAGAUAUAUGGAGGAACACCAGUGGCGAAGGCGGCUCUCUGGUCUGUAACUGACGCUGAGGCUCGAAAGCGUGGGGAGCAAACAGG